GAUGUGUGUUGAAAAUGGACCACCAUUGUGUUUGGGUUGUUAACUGUGUCGGGGCACUUAAUUAUAAGUAUUUCCUUCUUUUCUUGCUUUACACCUUUUUGGAAACAACUCUUGUGACUUUACUUCUCAUGCCGCACUUCAUUGCAUUCUUUAGCGAUGAAGAGAUACCUGGAACCCCAGGCACACUUGCUACUACUUUUCUUGCAUUUGUUUUAAACCUGGCAUUUGCUUUGAGCGUUAUGG
This is a non-coding RNA of Camelina sativa (false flax), 243 nucleotides long. The record is from RefSeq and is a predicted model, not a curated record. NCBI's taxonomy places the organism in Eukaryota, Viridiplantae, Streptophyta, Magnoliopsida, Brassicales, Brassicaceae.